This 447-nucleotide ribosomal RNA is filed under the name uncultured bacterium. RNAcentral's name for it is "bacterial SSU rRNA". It matches the Rfam family "Bacterial small subunit ribosomal RNA", at positions 338 to 777 of the family's 1533-position model. The record is from RNAcentral.
CCUACGGGAGGCAGCAGUGGGGAAUAUUGGACAAUGGGCGCAAGCCUGAUCCAUCCAUGCCGCGUGAGUGAAGAAGGCCUUCGGGUUGUAAAGCUCUUUCGUCCGGAAAGAAAUCGUGUUGGUUAACAUACGGCGUGGAUGACGGUACCUGACGAAUAAGCACCGGCUAACUUCGUGCCAGCAGCCGCGGUAAUACGUAGGGUGCGAGCGUUAAUCGGAAUUACUGGGCGUAAAGCGUGCGUAGGCGGCCUGGUAAGUCAGAUGUGAAAGCCCUGGGCUCAACCUGGGAAUGGCAUUUGAGACUGCAAGGCUAGAGUGCGGUAGAGGGAGGUGGAAUUCCCGGUGUAGCAGUGAAAUGCGUAGAGAUCGGGAGGAACAUCGAUGGCGAAGGCAGCCACCUGGGCCAGCACUGACGCUGAGGCACGAAAGCGUGGGGAGCAAACAGGA